This 528-nucleotide ribosomal RNA is filed under the name Fusarium sp. RNAcentral's name for it is "eukaryotic LSU rRNA". The stretch from base 175 to 328 matches the Rfam family "5.8S ribosomal RNA". The record is from RNAcentral. Lineage: Eukaryota; Fungi; Ascomycota; Sordariomycetes; Hypocreales; Nectriaceae.
UUGGUGAACCAGCGGAGGGAUCAUUACCGAGUUUACAACUCCCAAACCCCUGUGAACAUACCACUUGUUGCCUCGGCGGAUCAGCCCGCUCCCGGUAAAACGGGACGGCCCGCCAGAGGACCCCUAAACUCUGUUUCUAUAUGUAACUUCUGAGUAAAACCAUAAAUAAAUCAAAACUUUCAACAACGGAUCUCUUGGUUCUGGCAUCGAUGAAGAACGCAGCAAAAUGCGAUAAGUAAUGUGAAUUGCAGAAUUCAGUGAAUCAUCGAAUCUUUGAACGCACAUUGCGCCCGCCAGUAUUCUGGCGGGCAUGCCUGUUCGAGCGUCAUUUCAACCCUCAAGCACAGCUUGGUGUUGGGACUCGCGUUAAUUCGCGUUCCUCAAAUUGAUUGGCGGUCACGUCGAGCUUCCAUAGCGUAGUAGUAAAACCCUCGUUACUGGUAAUCGUCGCGGCCACGCCGUUAAACCCCAACUUCUGAAUGUUGACCUCGGAUCAGGUAGGAAUACCCGCUGAACUUAAGCAUAUCA